UGGGGAAUCUUGCACAAUGGGCGAAAGCCUGAUGCAGCAACGCCGCGUGGGCGAUGAAGGCCUUUGGGUCGUAAAGCUCUGUCCUUGGGGAAGAACAAAAUGACGGUACCCUUGGAGGAAGCCCCGGCUAACUACGUGCCAGCAGCCGCGGUAAUACGUAGGGGGCGAGCGUUAUCCGGAAUUAUUGGGCGUAAAGAGUGCGUAGGUGGUCUUGUAAGCGGGGGGUGAAAGGCAUCGGCUUAACCGAUGUUAGCCCCCCGAACUGUGAGACUUGAGUACAGGAGAGGAAAGCGGAAUUCCUAGUGUAGCGGUGAAAUGCGUAGAUAUUAGGAGGAACACCAGUGGCGAAGGCGGCUUUCUGGACUGAAACUGACACUGAGGCACGAAAGCGUGGGGAGCAAACA
RNAcentral lists this ribosomal RNA (404 nucleotides) under uncultured prokaryote. Its description in RNAcentral is "bacterial SSU rRNA". It matches the Rfam family "Bacterial small subunit ribosomal RNA", at positions 355 to 774 of the family's 1533-position model. The record is from RNAcentral.